Molecule: long non-coding RNA, 1034 nt
Organism: Oncorhynchus tshawytscha (Chinook salmon)
Lineage: Eukaryota; Metazoa; Chordata; Actinopteri; Salmoniformes; Salmonidae
Source: Ensembl
AGAAUAGAUAGAGAGAAUAGAGAGAGAGAAUAGAGAGAGAGAAUAGAGAGAGAGAAUAGAGAGAGAAUAGAGAGAGAAUAGAGAGAGAGAAUAGAGAGAGAGAGAAUAGAGAGAGAAGAGAGAGAGAAUAGAGAGAGAGAAUAGAGAGAGAGAAUAGAGAGAGAGAAUAGAUAGAGAGAAUAGAGAGAGAGAAUAGAGAGAGAGAAUAGAUAGAGACAAUAGAGAGAGAGAAUAGAGAGAGAAUAGAGAGAGAGAAUAGAGAUAGAGAGAAUAGAGAGAGAGAAUAGAGAGAGAGAGAAUAGAGAGAGAAUAGAGAGAGAAUAGAGAGAGAGAAUAGAGAGAGAGAAUAGAGAGAGAGAAAUAGAGAGAGAGAAUAGAGUGAGAGAAUAGAGAGAGAGAAUAGAGAGAGAGAAUAGAGAGAGAAUAGAGUGAGAGAAUAGAUAGAGAGAAUAGAGAGAGAGAAUAGAGAGAGAGAGAAUAGAGUGAGGGAUAAAAAAAUAGGAAGAGAAGUGGAGGGAAAAGAGGAGGAGUUAAUUAUGAAUAUUGGAUUUGUAAAAAGAUCAAUAUCGUUAUAGAUUAGAGCCUCAUCCAAUCCUCUCUCUGUCCACACAGGAGGGAAAUGAACCAGCGGCAUUAUUAACAUGUGUGUCACAAUGAUUUUAGGCUCCUGACAACUUUGCUCUGUGUUGAAUAAUGUAUUUGUUUUCAUUCUGUUGUCCAUGUGAACAUCUGUGUUUGGUUGUACUGUCCUUGUAGGUAACAGAAGUCCUCACAUCACAAGGAUAGUAAACAAUUCUGUGUGUGUGUUUGGUUGUACUGUCCUUGUAGGUAACAGAAGUCCUCACAUCACAAGGAUAGUAAACAAGGACAAUUCUGACAACUGGAUUCAUUUUGCCAGUCCCCACAACGGGAAAAUAUAUUUCAGGCUUAGGAGUUAGGAGUUAGGGGUUAGGUUUACAACUAGGGGUUAGGGAGUUAGGGUCAGGAGUUAGGAGUUAGGAGUUACAACUAGGGUUAUGGGUUAGGAGUUAGGA